AAUAGGGUUAAGGCAACAAAAAAGUGAACUCCAGAAACAUCAAGGAGAGUACUAGUGGGUUUUUUGACAAAUGGGAUAUAACUAGCUUAGAGACCUUGUCCCACCUCAUUUAUUUUAUGUUCUCUAUUAUUAGAACAAUUGUCCUUCAUAAGUGCUUUUCCCUACCUGUUUUCCAAAAACUAUCAGUGGAUCAUAUUUGCUAUGACAUUAAAUGUAACUGUGACUUGGCUUUUAAAGCCUUUCAAAAUCCAGCUCCACCAUGCCUUUCUGAAUUCACUCCCUAAAGCUCCAUAAUCCUGAGUAAAUUCUCAUUUCAAUUGGAAUCAUUUCCAUAAAUAUUCAUUGAGCACCUAGUUAAUCCCAGACACUGUGCUAUGUACUAGGAAUAAAUAAGAUAAAGUCCCUGCCCUAUAGGAGUUCAGGACAUAUCAGGAGAAUUAACACGAAUGUAGCUAUAAUAUAAUCAUAAUAACAACAAUCAUUAACUUUAUUGAGCCCAUUCGUAUAGUCCAGGCACUGUUCUAAGCAUUUCAUAUCAAUGUCUUUAAUCCUCACAACAAACCUAUGAGGUGGUAUCAUCAGUAUCCUCAUUUUAUAGCUGAACCUCGGAGAGGUUGUUUUCCAAGAUCACACAGUUAAUAAAUGAGUAACUGAAUCCAGACAAUCUGGCUACAGAACCUACUUCCUUAACUACUAUUAUUAUAUAGAUAUUGUGAAGAGAGCUGUACUGGAAAUGGAACAAAGGCUACAGGAACAGAAAGGAUGCAAUUCAUUCAGCUUGGGGAUAUGGGAAAUGGUGUCACAGAGACAAUCUUGCUCUAUUCCUUAUUUAUGUAUACCCCUACCUCCUGGAAAGGAAUCAGGACAGCUCACACUGGGAAAGAUUCAGAGCAUACAUACAAAAGCCUUGAGACUGGAAAGAUUAUUUGGAAGAUGGGCAGAAGAGCAGGUCACAAAUAGACUAAGAAAGAGAAGCCAGGUUAACAGGAGGAAUACCAGAUAAGACGGAGGGCUUCCAGAUUUAUUGGUGUGAUAAAUGUAAAAACACUGUCACAGAGUCUGGGGAAGAAAGUCUUUCAAGAAGAAAGGAAUAGUCAAUCACGCAAAAAUACUGCUGAGAGGGGCGAAGCAAGGAGAAGAAAGACAAAAUAUAUGAAUGCUGCCACACACAUCCAUGGUUUGUCAAUGCCCAGCCAUCCUUGGUGUGCAUUCUUAGUGAGUUUCUACUCCAAUUCUUCCUGAGUGAUUACAUUUUCAUCACAUUUCUGAAGGUUUUGCCACUUCUGCCAUCACAAUUUGAAGAGCCUCAGCAGAAACCAUGCAUGUCCUUGAUCUCCUCCUGGGUGAAUUCGGCCCUCCCCAAGCCUGGCUUGUGUGAGGGAGCUCACUUAUUCCUCCAGCCUCUGCCCCCAAGGCAGCUGUGGCAACAGCUCACACGAUGCUGGGACAGGGACAUCACUGAAUUUUUCUGCAGCAAAUUCAAGACCAAAUGGGAAUUUCUGCAUCAAUCAGCAUCCAUUGGGAAUCAACUUGAUGUAAGGCGUUAUGCUAAAUAAGGAAUGCUGAUGUUCCACGUAGACGGGUCUUGUGACUGUACCCCUCAUGCAAGCUUAAACCUGGAUGGCACUCCUCUUAUGGGGAUGUAGUCACCCUGAAGUGUUACAGAAAGGCUGUCUACAGCUGCACCCAUGCUGAGCUCCCAUGGGCGAAGCCUCCGCUGUGUCUGCAGUGGUGGGUGAGAGGAAGAAGAAGUCUCCUUUUCCAAGAUGCUUCAUGAGCCUUGGGGCUGCCUGAAUGUUGGGGUAGAGCUGCAGACUUUCCCCACUGAGCCCAGCAUUCCACUUGUGUCUCUGCUGAAACAUUUUGUAAGCAGAAAGUUCCAGGACUCAAGUCCUACAGACUGGAUUCUGUUAUCCCACAGCAUGCUCCCUUAAUGUGGUGCAUUCUCCCUUCCCUUAGAAGUAGGAAUCCCUGAGAGCUAGACUACUGUGAAUCCUGCUGCUUCUCUGGGUCUAGCUGUGCAGUGGGACUGCCACACUUCAGGCUGGUGCUAGGGGAUGUCCACAAAAGAUCCAGUGAUGUGACCUCUCUUCUAGCCUCCCAGCAGCAGGUACCAGCAACAGCUCUGAUGGUGUUGGAAUGGGAAUGAGGUAGACUCCGUGAGAUUUCCUUCCUUAUAAAUCACCUUAGUGUGUUGGCCUUCUCAAAUGCCAGGUGUACUAGUAACGUACUGGUCAUGUAGACAGAGUGAAGCCUUCCUGGUUAGGCAGGGUGAUGCAGGCUUGGGUAAUAGCUAAGGUUGUGCAAAAGUGUAAUCUCUCCUAGGCACUGUGUUACUGUACCUGCAAAUGUUGUAAUGGCAUGUGUUGGUUGGCCUCCAGCUAGGAGGUGGUGCGUGCUUGCAAAAGAAUGCCAGUUGCAGUGGUACUGGUGGGAUUUGUGCUUGCCUUAUGUUAUCCAGGGGAGGUAUUCUGGUGUCUCAGACAAUGGGUGGAACCAUGGAGCUCUCAAAAGUAUCUGUCCUUUAUACUAAGCUACCGGGGUAGGUAGAGGGACAAAAUCAGGUGGCGCUGGGCCAGGCAAAGCUGUAUCUUAGUUUCCCAUGUACAGGUGCAAGCAGUGGCCCCAGUGGAGAUUGGAGGGCGGUUCCCUGGCUACUGGGGUAAUAAUCCAGGAGGACCAAAGCUGCCUCUGCUGCACAGAAGAAUCUGCACAAGGAGUGGGGAGUAGCAGGCAGCAGUAAGCCCUAUCCAGCUCCCAUGCGCUUGGCAAGGCAGGUCUCACCCAUGCAGUGUUCCACCAGCAGCAGCUAGCUGGGUUGGAGUUAGCCUGCACUCUGAACCCAGAACUGCCCCAGGCUAUAAACCUUCCCUAUCCAGACAGAAACAGGUUUUCCAACUACACUUCUCCUGGUCUGCCUGUGAAACAGCACAAUCAGCUCCUGCACCUGUGGCUAAAGCACACAUACUGCUUGUGCCUCAGUUCUAGACAAGGGGGUUCAUCACCACUCAAAAUUAUAUCACAAAUCUCAGUUGGGAGCUUCUCUCAACCUGUGACCACCACCUGAGUUAGCUGGCUGAUUUCUGCAAGGUCCCCUAUUAGGUAGGAUCAGGAAUGGCUUCCUUCUGUCCCUGCUGGAGUCUGGGAAUGCACAAAAAGCACAUCCCAAUGCUGCUCCUUCUCAUACACUCCCUACCACUUACAAAAUCAGCACUGGGCAGGGUUAAGGCCUCACCCCAUGGCCUGGAUUGCCAGGCCCCACAGUAGGAGUGAAUAUCAUGGAGGCAGCGUCUUCCACCUCAUGCUCUAGGGACUCACAGUUUUCUGCCUGGCUCAUUCAUGGUGUAGGCUGCCGCCUUCUGCUUCUUUCAAAGGGUCUGUAGUUUCUUUCUGUUGUUUUGUUAAGUUCUUGUGUUGCUUCUUUGAAAAAAGUUCACAGCACAAAUCUCUACACACUAUUUUGUCUUUCCAAGGGGAGAGGCAGUCUAACAGUGUCUCCAAUCCACCAUCUUGGAAACAAAAUAUUUUCCUCUUAUUUUUUAAUUAGUUCAGAACUUGAGGGGGAAAAAAAAGAGUGGCACUAUUUUGGGGGGACUCUUCAAGAACUCCAAUUUAAGACUUUGGCAAAUAUUUUCUGAUGAUGAAACUACCAUCUGAUAGAGCAGAGGAAGAGAGCUGUCUAAAGAAUCAUGUAGCCCCAAGAGGAGGCUCUGGAAAGGAAGUGUAUACAGGAAAUGCAGGAAAAAGAAAAUAAGACCAGACUUAUGAUCGUCAUGUAUCUGAAUUAAUCAUUGUUCUGAUUCCUACUUUACUGAUUAGGUAUCAAUAAAGCUGCACAAGGGAAAGC
Pan troglodytes (chimpanzee) is the source of this 3847-nucleotide long non-coding RNA. RefSeq lists it as uncharacterized. The transcript has 6 exons. Lineage: Eukaryota; Metazoa; Chordata; Mammalia; Primates; Hominidae. The record is from RefSeq and is a predicted model, not a curated record.